CUACUCAUCAAACAAAAAUAUUUCUCUGUAACGAAAAAAAGAUAGUGGGCUAAUAUUAUGGGCCAUGAGACUGCCUUAGAAGCCCAUCCUUUCACUACACACUUUGUAAUAUACAUUAGAAACCCUAUAAAUUAAUACUCGAUAAAUUAAUAAACACGAUAAAUUAAUAAAUUUUGCCGGUCGAAGUCGGGCCAAUGUAAAAAUUAACGAAAAUCGAUAAGAUAAUAAAAU
Molecule: small RNA, 231 nt
Filed under: Arabidopsis thaliana (thale cress)
Lineage: Eukaryota; Viridiplantae; Streptophyta; Magnoliopsida; Brassicales; Brassicaceae
Description: ATSL063730
Source: RNAcentral